Molecule: ribosomal RNA, 497 nt
Filed under: uncultured bacterium
Lineage: Bacteria
Description: partial 16S ribosomal RNA
Rfam family: Bacterial small subunit ribosomal RNA
Source: RNAcentral
GAUGAACGCUGGCGGCGUGCCUAAUACAUGCAAGUCGAGCGAACAGACGAGGAGCUUGCUCCUCUGACGUUAGCGGCGGACGGGUGAGUAACACGUGGAUAACCUACCUAUAAGACUGGGAUAACUUCGGGAAACCGGAGCUAAUACCGGAUAAUAUAUUGAACCGCAUGGUUCAAUAGUGAAAGACGGUUUUGCUGUCACUUAUAGAUGGAUCCGCGCCGCAUUAGCUAGUUGGUAAGGUAACGGCUUACCAAGGCGACGAUGCGUAGCCGACCUGAGAGGGUGAUCGGCCACACUGGAACUGAGACACGGUCCAGACUCCUACGGGAGGCAGCAGUAGGGAAUCUUCCGCAAUGGGCGAAAGAUUGACGGAGCAACGCCGCGUGAGUGAUGAAGGUCUUCGGAUCGUAAAACUCUGUUAUUAGGGAAGAACAAAUGUGUAAGUAACUAUGCACGUCUUGACGGUACCUAAUCAGAAAGCCACGGCUAACUACGUG